CACAUGCAAGUCGAACGAGAAAGCGGGGGCAACUCCGCGAGUAAAGUGGCGACCGGGUGAGUAACACGUGACUAACCUGCCCUCGAGCGGGGGAUAACCCCGGGAAACCGGGGCUAAUACCGCAUAACAUCUUCGAUACGAAAGUGUUGAGGAUCAAAGGAGCAAUUCACUUGAGGAGGGGGUCGCGGCCGAUUAGCUAGUUGGCGGGGUAACGGCCCACCAAGGCUGAGAUCGGUAGCCGGCCUGAGAGGGCGCACGGCCACACUGGAACUGAAACACGGUCCAGACACCUACGGGAGGCAGCAGUGGGGAAUUUUGCGCAAUGGGGGGAACCCUGACGCAGCAACGCCGCGUGGAGGAUGAAGUCCCUUGGGACGUAAACUCCUUUCGACCGGGAAGAUGAUGACGGUACCGGAAGAAGAAGCACCGGCUAACUCUGUGCCAGCAGCCGCGGUAAUACAGAGGGUGCGAGCGU
RNAcentral lists this ribosomal RNA (475 nucleotides) under uncultured bacterium. RNAcentral describes it as "bacterial SSU rRNA". It matches the Rfam family "Bacterial small subunit ribosomal RNA", at positions 52 to 541 of the family's 1533-position model. The record is from RNAcentral.